Eucalyptus grandis is the source of this 904-nucleotide long non-coding RNA. RefSeq lists it as uncharacterized. The transcript is spliced from 2 exons. NCBI's taxonomy places the organism in Eukaryota, Viridiplantae, Streptophyta, Magnoliopsida, Myrtales, Myrtaceae. The record is from RefSeq and is a predicted model, not a curated record.
CCAGAACGAUUGGGAAAAAAUCUCGCGAUUCCCAGAAUUUUGCUGCAGUGAUCUUCAUCGAUCAGUUCUUGGAGAGUGACGCGAGGCCAGUGACGCGAGAGGCCAAUGACGCGAGGCCAGCCAUUCAUCUUCAUCUGCCUCUCCUCAUAUUCUUGUCCUAGCAAGGACUUGAUCUAUACGCGAAUCUAGCUCUUCCAGGUUGCCGUAUAUAAUAGGCUCUUCCCCGCCUAAUUUUUCACCUCGAAGAAGAGCCAAUUUCCUUUCAUCCAGCAUCCUUACCGAGUCUCAAGCUAUCAACCGUCCUCGCGGCCUCAAGGAAUAGUGAAAUCGCAUCCGGUCAUCCCCGGCCAAGUACAUGGCUCCGCAGGGCAGAGGAACCGUGCACAUCCGAACUCAAGAAAGCUACGGCAAUGAGGAAGUCCGAAGGAUGAGCUGGGGCAAUUGCUUCACCGUGCAGGUCAAGGGGAUCAAAGCGAAUGGUGUCGUGACGACGGUGGAAGGCCUCGACGAGAAACUGAAGCACGACGUCAUCCUCUCGGAUCUCAAGAAGAAGUUGCAUUGCAAGGGGGACAAAUACAGGACGGAGCAGGCCGGCGAUGUCAUCCGACUCAAUACCAACCGCACCGAGGUGGUGAAGGAUUUCCUGUGGAAAAAUGGCCUGGCAGCAAAACACAAGAUCAACUGUACCCCAAGCGUUUAGUGUUUUUCCCUCCUAUGUGGGACGAACGCUUAUGAUUCGACUAUGGGUGUAAAAAGCAUGUAACUUGUACUUCUUAAUCGUCAAAGUACGACGAAAUGAGAUGGACAAUCUCGCUCUAUGUGGGUUGGACGCUUAUGAUUUUGAGCAUGGAAGUUAAAGUACGUAACUUGUACUUCUUAAUUAUAAUAGUAUAGUAAAAUAUAA